Molecule: ribosomal RNA, 253 nt
Filed under: uncultured bacterium
Lineage: Bacteria
Description: partial 16S ribosomal RNA
Rfam family: Bacterial small subunit ribosomal RNA
Source: RNAcentral
UACGUAGGGUGCAAGCGUUAAUCGGAAUUACUGGGCGUAAAGCGCACGCAGGCGGUUUGUUAAGUCAGAUGUGAAAUCCCCGGGCUCAACCUGGGAACUGCAUUUGAUACUGGCAAGCUUGAGUCCCGUAGAGGGAGGUAGAAUUCCAGGUGUAGCGGUGAAAUGCGUAGAGAUCUGGAGGAAUACCGGUGGCGAAGGCGGCCCCCUGGUCGGAGACUGACGCUCAGGUGCGAAAGCGUGGGGAGCAAACAGG